Phyllostomus discolor (pale spear-nosed bat) is the source of this 77-nucleotide long non-coding RNA. RefSeq lists it as uncharacterized. The record is from RefSeq and is a predicted model, not a curated record. The transcript has 3 exons. Lineage: Eukaryota; Metazoa; Chordata; Mammalia; Chiroptera; Phyllostomidae.
GAAGCUCUUUUACAUUGUUUGGAAGAUUUGCAAGUCUUUUGACUAAUCAUUUGACUCUAUUGGUGGGCAAGUCUUAG